GAUAGAAGGAACGGUAAAUAAACAUUUGAACCCGAUCCCGAAUACAAGAGAGAUGAAAGCUUAGACGCGCCAAUCACAAUUGAGCUAGCCGAAUUGAAAACGUUGCCAGCUCUAUUUUCAGUACGUCAAAAUUUUUCCGACAAUUCAGAUAAAUUGUCGAUGUGGCAACGUGCAUUCUGGAAUUCUGUCAUUUUGUUCUGGCUUUAGACCUCCUCAGUUGGCUAAAUCUUCAUAAUUCCUUGUUUUAAUUAUUUUGUAUUUUCAUUUAUAACCAUUAGAAGUGAUAUUAGAUAUGCCUAGCAAGUGUUUUUUGUGUGGUUUCACUUAUAUUGUAGGAGGUGAAAUUAGUCUUCACAGACUUCCAUCGAAUCAACUUGAACGAGAAGAAUGGUUGCAGAGAAUUUCUUGGAGCCGACCGAUGUUGGAAAGAAAAAAUUUUCUUUGCUCAAAUCACUUUCCUGAAAAUUGCUUCCGAUUAAUGAUACCAUGAAAGAGGCUUAUACCAGGAAGUUUGCCUUCUCCUUCUGAAAUCAUAUUGUAAAUACCUCUGACCUACUCAGAAGGGAAUGGAACUAUUGAAGCACAGGACUUUACAGAAUCUGAUUCUAAAACACAAGAGAGAUUUGAGACUUCAGCUACUUUUAACUCUCCUUCAAAAUCUACAUCUUCUAGCUAUAGUGACACUAAGAACCUACGGCUUAUCAAAGGAGGUUUGCCUUUGGAAAUUAAAUUGGAAAUACCUCUGACUUACUCAGAAGGGAAUGGAAGUAUUGAAGAACAAGGCUCCACGGAACCUCUAUAUGAUUCUAAAAUACAAUCUCCAUCAAAAAAAACAAUUGAGAUUUGACACUCCAAUUACCAAUGAUCCAGAAGAAACACUGACUUUAAUCUCUCCUUCAAAAUGUGCAUCAUUUAGCUCUAGUGCCACUUCUUUCUCUGGGAAACGAAGAAUAUCCAAAAUGAAGUCGAGACGGUUUUUCUCAAAUCCCCGCUUAUAUUGGAGACUAUUCACAUCGUUAUUUGGAAAACCCUAUGCUGCGAAAGAAUUACUUUAGGUUGUCUCGAAGAAUCCUGUCCAAUUUCAAGGUCAAAAAUAAAAUAUUGUGUGUGUCCCUCCUGAAGUCAAACAGCACCUAGUCAAAACUACAGUUGAGAAAAAUCUUGGGGUAUCUUUCCAAUGCCUAUCAAUUUGUAGUUGAUAUCUAUACUCAGGCUGAGAAGACAUUUAGGUGGACAGAAAGGGUUUUUAAUAUAUUCGAUAAAAAUUAUUCGAACUUGUUAUUAUGUCUGGUUCUCACUACAGUGUUGAUCCAAAAUUGUUCAAUGUUUUCAAUCAGCAUCUGUUUGAUGAUGAACCAGGGAGAAUCCAUGGUCCUGCUAUAACGAAAAUGAUUCUUAAUGGUUCUGGAAACUAAUUUCAAUUUGAGGUUUCAUCAUAAAUUGAGAAAUCGACAGAGUGCAAAAUUAUAUUUGAAUCGGUUGAGAAGUAGAUUGAUAAAAACUAUAUUUGAAAAUCAAUAAAAUUUUCUAAUAAUGUUUGAAACCAAUAAUUUUAUUUGUACUGUAUUUCUGUGAUAAAUAUAUUCUGUUGUUUUAUUGAACCGAUAGAUUUUUUAAUAAUAUUUGUAAACCAAUUAUUUAUAUUUUGUAUUUUUGUGAUAAAUAUAUUCUGUUGUUUUUU
Long non-coding RNA from Harmonia axyridis, 1681 nucleotides. RefSeq lists it as uncharacterized. NCBI's taxonomy places the organism in Eukaryota, Metazoa, Arthropoda, Insecta, Coleoptera, Coccinellidae. The record is from RefSeq and is a predicted model, not a curated record. The transcript has 5 exons.